CACAAGCAUUAUCAUCGCAACAACACCACGUGGGCAUCUCACCCACCCUACGCAACACCUUUCUGCUUUUUCUUUCUUCAUCUUACUCUAUAUCACGAUGUCUGACUGGGAGACGAUCGCGAAGGAAUCGGAGGAGGUGCUUGCGAAGCCGGAUAUCAAGGGCUGCCACGAGAUCCUGAUGAAGGCGUACGAGGGCGGCAACCAACACCCCGAGAUUCUCUGGCGCCUCGGUCGCUCCUACUACGAGAUGGCGAACGAGAGCACCGAUCCGGCGGUGCGGGAGCCCUACCUGAAGGAAGGCAUGGAGCUAUGCAAGAAGUCCGUGGAGGCGGACCCGAACAACUUCGCCUCGCACAAGUGGCUCGGUAUUCUCAUUUCCGAUCAGAAGGUUGGCAACAAGGAGAAGAUCGCGAACGCGUAUGUCAUCCGCGACCACUUCCUGAAGGCGGUGGAGCUGAACCCCAACGACGCCACCUCGCUGCACUGUAUGGGCAACUGGUGCUUCAAGAUCCUGCAAAUUGGGUGGUUGGAGCGCAAGGCGGCGGCGCUGAUUCUUGGCGAGCCUCCGAGCUCCACCUACGAGGAGUGCCUCGGCUACCUUCUCCGUUCUGCGGAAGCAGGGAACACGAUUCACAACUCCACGAUGAUCGGCGACGCGUACGCGCAGCAGAGCAUGCACGAUGAGGCUCGCAAGUGGUACCAGAAGGCGAUCGACAUGCCUGCCUACACGGAGCUACAGAAGCGUAACCACGACGUCGCUGUUGCCAAGAUGAAGAAACUCUAAAACAAGGAAGAGGUAUGAUGCGGUCAGGUAGGAUGAAGAAACGAAUGCUGCUAAGAGAGAGGGGUACGUGCGAUCCUUCCGAGAGCGACGAAUUUGGUGAUAGUGAGCGGGCAGAUCAUCAAAUGGAAAGAAGGGUCUCCAUAGCGUGUGGCCCCUUGUUGGCAUCAACGUCUCUCAGCGAAGGAAAGGGUGUGACAGCAAAGGCGGCGUCAUCAGCAAGUGCACGAAGUCAACAUACGCACACGCAUACAUUACAGGCGUACAAAUCUUGAUCCGCGUUGCAUCGCCGGUGCUGGUGGUGGGGGAGCAGGGGGGAUGCUGAAAUGAAAAGCGACAGAAACGGAAGUGAUAGUCAGCGCCGACAUGCUGGGCGUCAUCUGAGCUUGUCUGUGAUUUCUUUUUCUCGCGUUCCUCUGGUUACACUCUUUUCCUUGACGUGGUCUGUUGCUCUCUCACCCUCUCUGUCUCGCGCAGACUCUUGCUUUGUUUGUGCUGGUGCCGUGCACCUCUUCCACGCAUGCAUGCCACUGAAAGCAAGUUGUGUUUUUGGUGCCCGCUGUUCCUCCUCCGCAUCCACAUC
RNAcentral lists this unclassified non-coding RNA (1364 nucleotides) under Leishmania donovani. RNAcentral describes it as "gene:LdHU3.19.1740(CDS-product:Tetratricopeptide_ repeat_putative)". The record is from RNAcentral. Lineage: Eukaryota; Euglenozoa; Kinetoplastea; Trypanosomatida; Trypanosomatidae.